CCUCUUCCAUGCACCUGUGCUGUUUGCUCUCAGGUGGCUGCAAGCAAGUCCCUUUUCUCAGCCAGGCAGGAGGGAGUGGAGGAAGGGCCUGUGUGUCUCCUCAGUUUCAAAGAAACUCCCACGGCAGAGCGUGCUCUUGAACUAAAGCUUGAAUGAAUCAGAAACAUCUGGGCUGUUUUUUCUGUGCUUAAGAUACAGGAAACAGACCCAUCCAAAGCCGUUUGGGGUUUUAUCAAGGGGUCAUUUAAGAUGCAGAGCAACUUGAAAUCGCCCAUCUGUUGGAGAGCCGUGCGUGCUGACAGAGGACUUUGGCACCCCGUGAUGCUACCGUCCUGAGUGCCCCGGGGCCUGGCUGGUGUAAGCGUCUUCCUGAAUUCCCUCUUUCAUUCAAGCUCUAGAAUUGGGCGCCACUCUGUGCCAGGCGGCUGGGGCUAGACCCCGCUCCCCGGCUGAUGCUGUCCUGCCCCAGGGAUGCCUGGCCAGGCUCUUGCUGUGUCCACCACGCUCCAUCCACACCCCUCCAUCACAUUUCACCAGGGGCCCGGGCCAGAGACGCAUCCGACAUCCCAUCUGGGAACAACGGCCUCAAAGAAUGGGGAGCAGCGAGGGCCGCCAGACACUGAGUCCUUCUGGAUCUUUCUGGCCAGGCUCCUUCCCUGGCAUCUGGGCUCGGUGGGGGUGGUCUGCCCCCUCAUUCCCGCAGACCCUGGCCCCUGGCAGGGCCCCCAGUCUCCACCUGCCCUGUCUGUUUCCUCCCCAGUGUAACUAUGCUGUAGAAAUAUAUUUUGGCCACACCCUGCAUGAAGGUUCCAGUCUCUGUGUCUGUGGGAAGGGCUAAUCUGCGGCAAGAAGUGGUCCCUGGGAUGGAAAGAUCCUGACACAACGGAGGUUUGUGUCCUGCUCAUGCAACGGCUCUGCCUGGUGAGCCUGGCUUCCUGGCACUCACGCCCUUGCGGUUUCUUCCACGUAGUCCCAGGUGAGUCUGUGCGGCCGACAGCAUGCGGCAGAGUGCAGAUGGGUCACUUCCGAAACUGGGCUGGACAUGCCAGGUCUCCCUCCUGGUUGCUCUGUCUCCUGGGUCACGGGCUUGGGUGAAGCCAGCAGCCAUGCCGUGGGAACUCAGGCGACGCGAGAACAGAGCGAUCUCCCGAGGUGCACGGGACUCCAGACAACAGCCCGCAAGGACCAAAGCCUGCCAGCAGCUGUGCAGGACCCUCGAAAAGUCUCCUGGGGCCAAUAGAGCCCUCACACGGCAGCAGACUCUGGGGGCCUUGGGAGGAGUGGCUGCAUUUUGCUGGGAGAAUCACAGAAUCUCUGGGGCCUGAGGGCCCGGGACGGCCCAGAGACAAGGAGGUACUCAAAGCUGUGUGUCGUCCUCCCAUGCCGGGCCAGGUGUGUCCAUGUGACCAGAGCACAAGUGGAUGCCACUCCUGAGUCCAGGGCCUGAAGGACCCUGUGGCUUCCCUCUGGGUCACUCUGUCUGCCUUGGGUCACUCGUCCUGAAGGAAGCCAGCCACUGCGUGCGGGGCCCUGCGUGGAGAGGCCCUCAUGGUGAGGAGACGUCCGGCCCACAGCCACGAGGAGCC
RNAcentral lists this long non-coding RNA (1586 nucleotides) under Homo sapiens (human). Its description in RNAcentral is "HSALNT0083086". Lineage: Eukaryota; Metazoa; Chordata; Mammalia; Primates; Hominidae. The record is from RNAcentral.